UAGCAUAUCAAUAAGCGGAGGAAAAGAAACCAACAGGGAUUGCCCUAGUAACGGCGAGUGAAGCGGCAACAGCUCAAAUUUGAAAUCUGGCUCUUUCAGAGUCCGAGUUGUAAUUUGCAGAGGGCGCUUUGGCGUUGGCAGCGGUCCAAGUUCCUUGGAACAGGACGUCACAGAGGGUGAGAAUCCCGUACGUGGUCGCUGGCCUUCGCCGUGUAAAGCCCCUUCGACGAGUCGAGUUGUUUGGGAAUGCAGCUCUAAAUGGGAGGUAAAUUUCUUCUAAAGCUAAAUACUGGCCAGAGACCGAUAGCGCACAAGUAGAGUGAUCGAAAGAUGAAAAGCACUUUGGAAAGAGAGUCAAAUAGCACGUGAAAUUGUUGAAAGGGAAGCGCUUGCAGCCAGACUUGCCUGUAGUUGCUCAUCCGGGCUUUUGCCCGGUGCACUCUUCUGCGGGCAGGCCAGCAUCAGUUUGGGCGGUUGGAUAAAGGUCUCUGUCAUGUACCUCUCUUCGGGGAGGCCUUAUAGGGGAGACGUCAUGCAACCAGCCUGGACUGAGGUCCGCGCAUUUUGCUAGGAUGCUGGCGUAAUGGCUGUAAGCGGCCCGUCUUGAAACACGGACCAAGGAGUCUAACAUCUAUGCGAGUGUUUGGGUGUCAAGCCCGAACGCGUAAUGAAAGUGAACGGAGGUGGGACCCCAUUAGGGUGCACCAUCGACCGAUCCUGAUGUCUUCGGAUGGAUUUGAGUAAGAGCAUGGCUGUUGGGACCCGAAAGAUGGUGAACUAUGCUUGAAUAGGGUGAAGCCAGAGGAAACUCUGGUGGAGGCUCGCAGCGGUUCUGACGUGCAAAUCGAUCGUCAAAUUUGGGCAUAGGGGCGAAAGACUAAUCGAACUAUCUAGUAGCUGGUUCCUGCGA
RNAcentral lists this ribosomal RNA (910 nucleotides) under Camarosporidiella elaeagnicola. RNAcentral's name for it is "partial large subunit ribosomal RNA". It matches the Rfam family "Eukaryotic large subunit ribosomal RNA", at positions 36 to 963 of the family's 3401-position model. Lineage: Eukaryota; Fungi; Ascomycota; Dothideomycetes; Pleosporales. The record is from RNAcentral.